RNAcentral lists this ribosomal RNA (376 nucleotides) under uncultured bacterium. Its description in RNAcentral is "bacterial SSU rRNA". It matches the Rfam family "Bacterial small subunit ribosomal RNA", at positions 30 to 407 of the family's 1533-position model. The record is from RNAcentral.
AUUGAACGCUGGCGGCAUGCCUUACACAUGCAAGUCGAACGGCAGCACGGGGGCAACCCUGGUGGCGAGUGGCGAACGGGUGAGUAACAUAUCGGAACAUACCCUAGAGUGGGGGAUAACGUAGCGAAAGUUACGCUAAUACCGCAUACGAUCUAAGGAUGAAAGUGGGGGAUCUUCGGACCUCAUGCUCAUGGAGUGGCCGAUAUCUGAUUAGCUAGUUGGUGAGGUAAAGGCUCACCAAAGGCGACGAUCAGUAGCUGGUUUGAGAGAACGACCAGCCACACUGGAACUGAGACACGGUCCAGACUCCUACGGAGGCAGCAGUGGGAAUUUUGGACAAUGGGGGCAACCCUGAUCCAGCAAUGCCGCGUGAGUG